Long non-coding RNA from Xenopus tropicalis (tropical clawed frog), 2318 nucleotides. RefSeq lists it as uncharacterized. The transcript has 2 exons. Lineage: Eukaryota; Metazoa; Chordata; Amphibia; Anura; Pipidae. The record is from RefSeq and is a predicted model, not a curated record.
ACAAGCCAUUGAUGCUGUGCCGAUCAGGAAAUGACAGCAGAGACAUUCCUCAGCCACAGUCCAACCAGAGGGAAGAAGAGUAGCAGCAAACAGUGUUGUUCCGCAGGCUCUCCACAGUAAUCUGCCCUCCCAUCCAGCACGGCUCACCCCACAAAGAAGAACUACACCAGCUCCCACAGCAGCUUUGCCAGCAGGGCCUUGCUCCGCAUCACUGCUAGAUGACUUCCCCGGGCCUAGCCAUUGCGCUCAAAGCCCUGGGACCUGUCGCACCUCGCAGACAGCCAUAUUGAUGACGUCAGGCACAAGCAAUGCAACAAUGUCGGAUCCCAAGAUGGCCACCCAUGGGCAGCAGAGAGAAGCCCUGAGAGGGUCGCUGGCCCUGCUGGAUCAUUGCCCACUUACCACCAACUUGAGUAUUCCACCCAAGCAUUUGGUAUGCUUGUAAGUGAUUGUUGGCUCCAAUAUGAUUAGCAGUAUCGGCGCAGAAUGGUAGCCAGAGCCCAUUUGUGCUGGGAUUGCCAGGACAUGAAUCUCUGGUUGCUGAUAAUGACUCCUAACAGGCCUGUUUAGCCCUUUCCGCACAGUGCACAGGCACAAGGCAACACCACAGCUAGUGUAGGCACAGGUGUCAAUAAAAAGAGCCUAUGUUGGUUUUACAUUACCGAUGGUACUCAACAUGUUGUUUUCAAUACGAAUGCUUCUCUUGUGGGGCUUUGCACCCCACAAUCAAGUGCUUUAACAAACCAAAGCUGGAACUGCCAAAUGCGCUAAGAGCGAUGACCCCAGCAAACACCAAAAGGAUGGAGCAGUGGCUAAGACAAUUAGAGGGAAGCCCAAAUACUCCAGGAUGGUUUCAUUAGGGGGUUCUGAAGAGCCCUCUUUGGCAGUCAGUGCAGGAUAGUGAACACAUAGUAUGGGAAAAAAUCAUAAAAGAAGUCCAACUUGGUCAAAUGACUGGUCCCUUUCUAGAGCCCCCCUUUCAGAAUCUUAGAGUUUUCCCACUGGCCUAGUAACAAAAAAGGAACCUGGCAAAUUCAGGCUGAUCCAUCAGGGUCAAAAGGGAUGAAUCCAUGGUUUAGUAUUCAUCCUUUGACAAGGCACUCAACUUGGUCAGGGGAGCAGGAAAGGGGGCACUCGUGGCAAAAUCUGACAUAGAGUUGGCGUUUCUACUACUUCCGGUAAACCCAGUAUGCUUCCACCUGCUGAUCUGUGCAUUCUACCGUUAUUACUUUGUUGACAUGUGCCUCCCGAUGGGGUGUUCAAUAUCCUGCGACUACUUUGAGCUUAUUAACACUUUUUUUGAAAGGCUGGUGAGCCAGGAAAAGGGCUGUAAAUAACUCAUCCACUACUUGGAUGAUUUCCUAUUUGUAGGACCGGGCCAAUCUCCACAAUGCAUCAACCUCGUGGGUGCAUUUUGUGAGCUCAUGUUCUUUAUCAGUGUUCCCGUGGCUGAGGAAAAAAAGAAGGACCAGUAACGGUGCAGCAGCAGAGGCAGUUCGUCAUUGGUUCACAGAGGACGAGGUCAAGGGUAUAACUAGAUGGGACUCCCACAGGUUCCAGAUCUACAUAAGCCAACAUUUACUGUGAUGAUCACCUAGGUAUGUCAAAAGCUACAGUUUGGAUCCUGGGGCAUUCCUACGUUUAUUGAGCAGCAAGACAAGCUUCCAUCUGCCCAUAUGGUCAACAACUCAGCUUUCCGGAGUAAAUGGUAUGCAUUCACUGGAGCGGUAUUAGGGACAGGACAGUACUAGUGAUCCAUGGGGGGGUAAUGAUCUGGGGUUGGGUAGAAACAUUGACAGGGACAGUGUUUUGGCAUGGUCCACAAUCAUAGUUGGGCAUGUGUGGAGAUACGCCAGGGAUCAUUUAGCCUUAGAAUGCUGCAGGAAAAAAUUGAAUGUAACUGUAUCUGCAUUCGUAAGGGGGAUGAAAGGCAUAGUGGUGAGACACAGGGAAAUGGAGUGAGAUGUCUUUGUUUACUUCGGAGGGAUGAGGUACACUUCAAUCCUAUUGGUCUCAAUAUUUUCAAUAUGAAUCUCCAAACCAGUGUCCAAGCAGUGCUGUCUGUGUUGGGGCACCAUGCCGGCUAGGAAUAGCCGGAUUGGUGGUGGCUGAAUACAACAUCAAACAGUGCUUAUUGGUAAUUGUUUUGGUAAGUUAAACAGUUGGUCUGCAGGCUACGGCUGUAACCAACUGCAGGAAACUCCUGGGAGCUGCAAGUUUGAUUUGUGUCUGCUGGGUGUCCUACAGUUGGCAAUUUAUGUUAAAGAUGUUUUAUUUAACAUGUUAAUAAAGCUGUGGCCGCUAAUUUAUCCAACUGA